GUAGGUGGCAAGCGUUGUCCGGAAUUAUUGGGCGUAAAGCGCGCGCAGGCGGUUCUUUAAGUCUGAUGUGAAAGCCCACGGCUCAACCGUGGAGGGUCAUUGGAAACUGGAGAACUUGAGUACAGAAGAGGAAAGCGGAAUUCCACGUGUAGCGGUGAAAUGCGUAGAGAUGUGGAGGAACGCCAGUGGCGAAGGCGGCUUUCUGGUCUGUAACUGACGCUGAGGCGCGAAAGCGUGGGGAGCAAACAGGGAUUAGAUACCCUGGUAGUCCACGCCGUAAAUGAUGAGUGCUAAGUGUUAGGGGGUUUCCGCCCCCCUUAGUGCUGCAGCUAACGCAUUAAGCAUCCGCCCUGGGAGUACGGCCGCAAGGCUG
RNAcentral lists this ribosomal RNA (373 nucleotides) under uncultured organism. Its description in RNAcentral is "partial 16S ribosomal RNA". It matches the Rfam family "Bacterial small subunit ribosomal RNA", at positions 527 to 896 of the family's 1533-position model. The record is from RNAcentral.